RNAcentral lists this ribosomal RNA (254 nucleotides) under uncultured bacterium. RNAcentral's name for it is "partial 16S ribosomal RNA". It matches the Rfam family "Bacterial small subunit ribosomal RNA", at positions 524 to 776 of the family's 1533-position model. The record is from RNAcentral.
UACGGGGGAGCAAGCGUUGUUCGGAUUUACUGGCGUAAAGGGCGCGUAGGCGGCCAGCACAAGUCAGUUGUGAAAUCUCCGAGCUUAACUCGGAAAGGUCAACCUGAUACUGUGCGGCUAGAGUGCAGAAGGGGCAACUGGAAUUCUUGGUGUAGCGGUGAAAGUGCGUAGAUAUCAAGAGGAACACCUGCGGCGAAGGCGGGUUGCUGGGCUGACACUGACGCUGAGGCGCGAAAGCUAGGGGAGCGAACGGG